CAGGGAAUAGUUUAAAUAGAACUUCAGCUUUGGGUGUUGAUAGUGGAGCUAU
This 52-nucleotide transfer RNA is filed under the name Alces alces (Eurasian elk). RNAcentral describes it as "partial tRNA-Pro". The record is from RNAcentral. Lineage: Eukaryota; Metazoa; Chordata; Mammalia; Artiodactyla; Cervidae.